Camelus ferus (Wild Bactrian camel) is the source of this 72-nucleotide transfer RNA. It matches the Rfam family "tRNA". Rfam says of the family: Transfer RNA (tRNA) molecules are approximately 80 nucleotides in length. The record is from Rfam. NCBI's taxonomy places the organism in Eukaryota, Metazoa, Chordata, Mammalia, Artiodactyla, Camelidae.
GAGGACAUAGCUCAGUGGUAGAGCGUGUGCUUUGCAUGCGUGAGGUCCUGGGUUCAAUCCCCAGUACCUCCA